RNAcentral lists this ribosomal RNA (677 nucleotides) under uncultured bacterium. Its description in RNAcentral is "bacterial SSU rRNA". It matches the Rfam family "Bacterial small subunit ribosomal RNA", at positions 153 to 845 of the family's 1533-position model. The record is from RNAcentral.
GAAAUGACUGCUAAUACCGCAUAUGCCUUGAGUAUCACAUGGUACAAAAGGGAAAGGAGCAAUCCGCUGAUAGAUGGGCUUGCGUCUGAUUAGAUAGUUGGUGAGGUAACGGCCCACCAAGUCGACGAUCAGUAGCCGGACUGAGAGGUUGAACGGCCACAUUGGGACUGAGAUACGGCCCAGACUCCUACGGGAGGCAGCAGUCGGGAAUAUUGCGCAAUGGAGGAAACUCUGACGCAGUGACGCCGCGUGCAGGAAGAAGGUUUUCGGAUUGUAAACUGCUUUAGACAGGGAAGAAACAAGACAGUACCUGUAGAAUAAGCUCCGGCUAACUACGUGCCAGCAGCCGCGGUAAUACGUAGGGAGCAAGCGUUAUCCGGAUUUAUUGGGUGUAAAGGGUGCGUAGACGGGAAAUUAAGUUAGUUGUGAAAUCCCUCGGCUUAACUGAGGAACUGCAACUAAAACUGGUUUUCUUGAGUGCUGGAGAGGAAAGUGGAAUUCCUAGUGUAGCGGUGAAAUGCGUAGAUAUUAGGAGGAACACCAGUGGCGAAGGCGACUUUCUGGACAGUAACUGACGUUGAGGCACGAAAGUGUGGGGAGCAAACAGGAUUAGAUACCCUGGUAGUCCACACCGUAAACGAUGGAUACGAGGUGUAGGGUGUGAUAAACAUUCUGUG